UAGGGAAUCUUCCACAAUGGACGCAAGUCUGAUGGAGCAACGCCGCGUGAGUGAAGAAGGUUUUCGGACCGUAAAGCUCUGUUGUUGGUGAAGAAGGAUAGAGGUAGUAACUGGCCCUUUAUUUGACGGUAAUCAACCAGAAAGUCACGGCUAACUACGUGCCAGCAGCCGCGGUAAUCGCAGGUGGCAAGCGUUGUCCGGAUUUAUUGGGCGUAAAGCGAGCGCAGGCGGAAGAAUAAGUCUGAUGUGAAAGCCCUCGGCUUAACCGAGGAAUUGCAUCGGAAACUGUUUUCUUGAGUGCAGAAGAGGAGAGUAGAACUCCAUGUGUAGCGGUGGAAUGCGUAGAUAUAUGGAAGAAUACCAGUGGCGAAGGCGGCUCUCUGGUCUGCAACUGACGCUGAGGCUCGAAAGCAUGGGUAGCGAACAGGAUUAGAUACCCUUGGUAGUCCAUGCCGUA
Molecule: ribosomal RNA, 457 nt
Filed under: uncultured bacterium
Lineage: Bacteria
Description: partial 16S ribosomal RNA
Rfam family: Bacterial small subunit ribosomal RNA
Source: RNAcentral